UUCUAGCCCAGAUGGAAGCGGCAUCCUUUUUUGGGUCUUUUUUCGGACCAAAAAAGAUAUAGCGGACAGCUGGAAAUAGC
RNAcentral lists this small RNA (80 nucleotides) under Flavobacterium sp. KMS. Its description in RNAcentral is "Flavo-1 RNA". It matches the Rfam family "Flavo-1 RNA". The record is from Rfam by way of RNAcentral. Lineage: Bacteria; Pseudomonadati; Bacteroidota; Flavobacteriia; Flavobacteriales; Flavobacteriaceae.